RNAcentral lists this long non-coding RNA (5810 nucleotides) under Trifolium pratense (red clover). RNAcentral describes it as "long non-coding RNA (TPRA_LNC002872)". Lineage: Eukaryota; Viridiplantae; Streptophyta; Magnoliopsida; Fabales; Fabaceae. The record is from RNAcentral.
UCCGAAACCCACCAAACUUCGAAUGAAAAUGAGUGCCAAAGAAAUCAUUGUAAGAAAGGCUGAGUGAUUGUAGGUGAGAAAGAUGAAAAAGAGUACUAUUAGGAGAAAUAUUACCUUGAAGACUUUCACAGCCAAGGUUGAGACCAAUCACAUGACCAGAGACAGUAUCACAGGUGACACCAUGCCAUGAACAACAAUUUGUCCCAUUUUUCCAUGUUGCAGUUUUCUGAGGUUGUUCCUGACAAGCAUAGUUUGUAUAUGUAGUCAAAGAGGACUUAAAUUGAAUCAAAUCAUUGCUAUCUUGAGGAUUACAUAAAAAAUUAGAAGAAGAAGUUGAGAAGGAUGGAAAAAUGAAGAGCAAAAUAUGGACAUACAGAAUAAACAACCUCAUGGUGGUGAAGUUAUUUUGAUUGAUGAAUUCAAAUUUUGUGAGAAGUGUUUUAUACUAAUUUUCUUUGACUUUUGGAAGUUCUUCAAAGAUUGAACUUGUCUCAAAAUUUCUUUAAUUUCAUAUCUCUAGUGUUUGCUUUUAUUUGACCGGAUCACGUAGCUUAUAUUUUUGAAAAUAGUAUAAUAAUACUCUUUCAAACAUGUAUGCUAUUGUUAGUAGCUGUCAGAUUCAAUGCCAACAAAUCUAUAAAAGCAGUCAACAAAAGCGGCUCACCACAGAAUUCAACUGGCCUUAUCUAUAUAUCAAUCCAAAUUUCUUCAUAAUUAAUAUUUUCUAAAGCUAAAAUGUAAACUUAACUACAUUAAUGCUAAAUGUAAAACUAAACUCUUAAUAGCCUCCUUCAAGCUUAAGCAUGAUAUAUGUUAAAAUAAAGAACAUGUGGUUUGAUGCAAUGUGUAUAGCGCUGUGAUUGUCAAAAUAAAGAACAUGUGGUUUGAUAUGUUCAACCUUUAAGUACUGAAGUAGUUAAAGGAGCCGAUCACAAGUAGCUGAAGACAAUGCUCGAUACUCUGCCUCAUACGAGGACCUUGAUACAGUAGCUUGUUUCAUUGGAUGCUGCAAUAUCAAUGAGGUACCUCUAAAGAAGCAAUGACCAGAUAUUGAUCUUCUACUGUCCAAAGCAACCUGUCCAGUCAUGUAAUGGCCCAAUCUCAGGCCAUGACCGGGCCACAGGCUAACACUAACUCAUCAUAUAGUUAGUCUCGCAAGCCUAAGACACUGUAACACAUAUACUUAUUAUAUACAUACUUAUUGAAAUUUAACAGUGUCUCAUCUAUUUUCAUAACAUAGUUAAUUGAGUCAUUCCAAAGUAAAUUUCGAUUUUUAAUCCCGUCCUUUUUCUAACGGAUUCAGGUUUCAUUCCAAAUCAAUGUAUGUACAGGAAGUUACGGACAUUUUACUCACUGGGUCUACACGAGUUUAAGGGUUCAAAUCUCCCAUUUUCUCAAUUUCUUACUAAAUCCAUGAUUUCCAUGAAUUUAACCUAACUUCCAUUAACCUUAACAAAAUUAUAAGUAAACACAAGCAGGAUUGUAUUAAUAUUCUAACUCUAUCCCUAAUUUCUAUGUUCAUCAAAUAUCUCAAAUUGUCCUUAAUUCUAACCUAAUUUCAUGGAUUCUCUAUGAAAUUCAUCAUAAUCAUACGUUGCAUAUACAAUCAGCCCUUCAUUGCUACCCAUAAGGUUCAUUCCCAAUUCAUAACACUAACCCAAAAUUAAAACUUAAUAAGAAUUCGCCUUUGAUUCUUUGAAAAUAGAUUCUGGCUUAUGAGGGUUUGUAGAGAGAAAGAGUGAAGAAAAAUUGUUUUUUUUUCAACUCAUGAAUUUUUCUUAAAUACUUUCCAAAUUAAUUUACCAUCUUGCCCUUGUUACUACUAACAAAAUUCCAAUGCUAUCCUUACUUACUCUAAUCAUUUCUAUCACGUUUUCAUGUCUCAUAUCUCAACUUAAUUUAUUCUCAAUCCUCUAAUUAGUUCUUAAUACACUUGCAAAUGAGUACUAAUUAGUAUCUUAAUAACUGCAAAUAUGCCUUGUCCUGGACUAUUUUCAAGUACUUUAUGACUCUACAAGGAACAUUGAAGUGUGUUACGGUGGGUGCAUGAAUGAACCGGCUCAAUUGUUUUGUUGUUCUUAUAAUUGAGUAUUAGGCCUAACUCAUCCUUACAAAACCGGCUUGUAAGGUGAGAUUGUCCUCACUUAUAAGCACAUAUCGAGGUCAUCUCGCAAUCGACCUGGGACUUCUUAACAGUUGUAAAGGUAAUGUCAGGUCUAGUUGUGUUCAAAUACACUGAUUUUCUCACCAUUCUGCAUAAGGCUUUCCUGAAUCACUAUGAAGCUUGAUGAAAGUGUCAAGUGGAGUACUUGCAGUCUUUGGUCCUGAAUCUUAAAGAAGAUCAAGGGAAUACUUCUCUGAGAGAUAGCUAUUCCUGAUUUUGAAUGUGUAACUUCCAAUCCAAGAAAGUGCUUCAACUGUCCCAAAUUUUUUAUUUUAAAAGCUGCAUCAAGUAUAUCUUUGAUUAUGUCGCAUAACCAUUUUAUCUCAAGGAAAUUUCAAACUUUCUGCUCAAUGAUUCUCAUUCAAGGGAAAGAUCCUAUCCCAAAGUUGUUUAUGAUAAUCUACAUAUAUUUAGUGCUUUCAAUAGCAUUAAUCUUCGGUUAAAAUGCAAAUCCUAAUGUGAUGUGAUGAAAGCCUUCACUGUGCUCAAUUGAAUGAAUGAAAUUUGCAUGAGUUUGUGAUCAGAAUGAUUCUCCUUGGUCAUAGAUCGCAAACUCAGUGUGAUCUAAUAACAGUUUGAGACGUUGAGCUUAUUAGAGCUCCAUAGAAGAGUUGAAAGAGUAACUGUUUCAUUAAGAAAAUAAGUGAAAUAUUCAAGAUAUUAAAAUGAUAAGUAGAAAAUGGGGUGAAACUGGCAUUGUUUCAUUAAGAAUCUAGAACAACUUUCCGAGACAAGACAAAGGAGUAAAAAACAAGCAAAGCAUGUAAUCAUUUGUAACAAAAACAAAUGGCUUCUUAGCCGCACAAGAAUAUUCAUCAAGUUUGGCGUGGAAAGACCCAAAAACCUUUCAUUGAGUCAAUAUCCUGAGAGCCGAUACCCUAAUCAAACAGUUGUAGAUUGCAAUAUGCAAAGAUAAGUGUAUGGUACAACAAAUGAAUGGUUAACCUAAAAUGCUUCUUUUUGGCUUCUUACAAGAUUUACUUGCUCACACAGUUGCAACACAAAAUCAAGCAUACAAGAUAUAUAUAGCAACAAACAAAGAGGAAACAACAUGCACUUUUAUUUAUUAAUAACACUGCCUAAAUAAAGCAUAGUACAUUCACAAUACAUUCAUGCAAGCAAACUCAAUAAAACUAACACGGAAGAGAAAGUAAUCACAACAAUAAAACCACCACAUUUGCACCAUCGAUCUAAUUCCUGGUUGAAACAUUAGUUCUCAACACUCUUGUCCUCCUUGCCACUCUUUGCUUGGGCUAACCUCUAGCCAUCAUCACAAGCCAUCUAGGCUUUCCGAUUAGAUCCUGGUUGAACCAUUAGUUCUCUUCACUCCCUAAGGUGUUGGCUGAAGGUGGAGAAUGUUGCUUAGGUCCGCAUUUCUUUGACAAGGGAAAUCCACAUAACCCCGAGUUUCCUACAUAGGAGUCAUUUGAAAAUGUAUUGAACUGCUUACCUUGAGGUAUUUCUCCCAUUAGAUGGUUAUGGGAAAGGUUCAACACUUCAAGACCAUUCAGAUUGGUUAAUUCUGCAGGAAUCACACCAGUUAAUAUAUUUGAGGAAAGAUCCAAUGAUUCCAAGCUUGACAAGUUUCCUAUGGAUUGGGGAAUAGAACCGGUGAGUCUGUUAUGGGAAAGGUUAAGCCCAUGGAGUGCCUGAAGCUCUCCAAUAACAUUUGGAAUAGUGCCAUAAAAUUUGUUCUCUUGUAGAUCCAAAACUUGAAGGGAUGAUACAUUAGCAAGACAUUGUGGAAUGUUACCUGUCAAUUUGUUGUGUGCCAAGUUGAGCAAUAUAAGCGAACUUUUAUUGCAAAUUGACAAAGAGAUGCCACCAGCUAGUAAGUUAAAACUAAGAUCAAGGCCCUGUAGGUUUUGCCACUGAUUCCUUGUGAAUUGGUCCAUUGAUUCGAACAUGUUAUGAGAGAGGCCCAAAGAUUGUAAUGAAUCUAUGUUGAGCAACCAAUUAGGCAAUCUUCCAAAAAGUUUAUUGUCGGACAAAUCAAGAUAUCUCAAACCAGGGAAUUUUCCUGAUGAUAAUUUUGAAUAUCCGAUCAAACCGACAGAAGACAGUUCCAAUGUUGAUAGGAUAGAAAAGUUGUAAUUGACAGUAGAUUCAAAGUUUAGUGAUAAUUGACUAUUACGUGAAAGAGACAAAGUAUCCAAUUUUUGAAGUUUGGAGAAGUGCUGAAAAUUGACAACACCACUCAAGUUGUUUGAUGAAAGACAUAGUGUAGCUAGGUUUGCAAAGUUGAAAAUAGAUUCUGGAAUAUCUCCUUGUAGUUUGUUGCUGCAUAGUUUAAGAUAAUACAAAGAAUAUGAUGAAAUGACACUUAUAUUUCCUGUAAAUUGAUUAUUUGAUAGAUCCAACAUUCCUAAAGAUGGUAAAGAUAAACACCACGAAGGAAUUUUUCCACUUAGUAAGUUGUUAUUCAAAAAUAAAUAACCUAAGUUUUGGAACCCUGAUAUUUCCUCAGGUAGAGGACCCUUUAAUUUAUUAUUAGAAAAGUCUAAGUAAUCAAGUUGAGAUAACCUAAACAAUGAAGGUGGAAUUUGCCCUUCUAAUCUAUUAUAACCCAGACGGAGUUCUUGUAAUUUGGUUAGUCCGUCAAACACAUCUGGAAUUUGACCACUAAAUGAAUUGGAAGACAGGUCUAAAUUGAUAAGAUGUUGAAGGUUUGAAAGUGAUUUUGGCAACUGGCCAUCAAUUUUGUUACUACUCAAAUCUAACUUUUGAAAUCUAUUUGAUUUGGGAAAUACAUCCGGGAUUUGACCACUUAUGAACAAAUUAUCUUUGAGAGACAAAGAAGUUAGAUUUUGUAGGGUUAAAAGUGAGGAUGGGAUUGAACCAUUAAGUCUGUUAUCAAUGAGACUUAAGGAUGUAAGAUAUGUGAGGUUAGAGAAAGAAAGAGGAAUUGGCCCUGUGAAUGAACAAUAUGAAAGAUCCAAGAUUCUAAGAAAAGUGCUACAACUUAAAUUUGGAAGUUGGCCUUCAAGGUAGUCAUUUUUUGAUAAAUCUAACUCUUGAAGACUCGGUAAACAAAGAAUGUUGUUUUUCCAAUUUCCACUUAUUCCUGAUCUUUGAAGAUUAAGAUUAGUCAAAGAGGAAGAUUGAUUGAAUAUCAAAUUCAACGAGUUUGGAUGGAUUGAAGACAUAUUUGUUUCAUCCAAAAUUAACUCUUCCAAAAUUGUUGCAUUUUGCACAAGGCUUUUCAAAGUGGUUUCUUUCCAACUUAACUGACCAUUUCUAGAAAGAUGAAGUGAUAUUAAUUUGGAAAGGUGUGAGAUUUGAGGAGGAACUUCACCUUGAAAGUUACAUGAAGACAAGUCAAGAUGUGUAAGAUUCUGAAAUCCACCAAACUUAGAAUGAAAAUGAGUGCCAAAGAAAUCAUUGUAAGAAAGGUUGAGUGAUUGUAGGUGAGAAAGCUGAAAAAGGGUACUAUUAGAAUAAAUAUUACCUUGAAGACUUUCACAUCCAAGGUCGAGACCAAUCACAUUAGCAGAGACAGUAUCACAGGUGACACCAUGCCAUGAACAACAAUUUGUCCCAUUUUUCCAUGUUGAUGUUUUUUGAGGUUGUUCCUGACAAGCAUAGUUUGUAUAUGUAGUGAAUGAGGACUUGAAUUGAAGCAAGGCAUAGCUAUCUUCAGGAUGAC